This 1372-nucleotide ribosomal RNA is filed under the name uncultured bacterium. RNAcentral's name for it is "bacterial SSU rRNA". It matches the Rfam family "Bacterial small subunit ribosomal RNA", at positions 28 to 1381 of the family's 1533-position model. The record is from RNAcentral.
GAUGAACGCUGGCGGCGUGCCUAAUACAUGCAAGUCGAGCGAACGGACGAGAAGCUUGCUUCUCUGAUGUUAGCGGCGGACGGGUGAGUAACACGUGGAUAACCUACCUAUAAGACUGGGAUAACUUCGGGAAACCGGAGCUAAUACCGGAUAAUAUUUUGAACCGCAUGGUUCAAAAGUGAAAGACGGUCUUGCUGUCACUUAUAGAUGGAUCCGCGCUGCAUUAGCUAGUUGGUAAGGUAACGGCUUACCAAGGCAACGAUGCAUAGCCGACCUGAGAGGGUGAUCGGCCACACUGGAACUGAGACACGGUCCAGACUCCUACGGGAGGCAGCAGUAGGGAAUCUUCCGCAAUGGGCGAAAGCCUGACGGAGCAACGCCGCGUGAGUGAUGAAGGUCUUCGGAUCGUAAAACUCUGUUAUUAGGGAAGAACAUAUGUGUAAGUAACUGUGCACAUCUUGACGGUACCUAAUCAGAAAGCCACGGCUAACUACGUGCCAGCAGCCGCGGUAAUACGUAGGUGGCAAGCGUUAUCCGGAAUUAUUGGGCGUAAAGCGCGCGUAGGCGGUUUUUUAAGUCUGAUGUGAAAGCCCACGGCUCAACCGUGGAGGGUCAUUGGAAACUGGAAAACUUGAGUGCAGAAGAGGAAAGUGGAAUUCCAUGUGUAGCGGUGAAAUGCGCAGAGAUAUGGAGGAACACCAGUGGCGAAGGCGACUUUCUGGUCUGUAACUGACGCUGAUGUGCGAAAGCGUGGGGAUCAAACAGGAUUAGAUACCCUGGUAGUCCACGCCGUAAACGAUGAGUGCUAAGUGUUAGGGGGUUUCCGCCCCUUAGUGCUGCAGCUAACGCAUUAAGCACUCCGCCUGGGGAGUACGACCGCAAGGUUGAAACUCAAAGGAAUUGACGGGGACCCGCACAAGCGGUGGAGCAUGUGGUUUAAUUCGAAGCAACGCGAAGAACCUUACCAAAUCUUGACAUCCUUUGACAACUCUAGAGAUAGAGCUUUCCCCUUCGGGGGACAAAGUGACAGGUGGUGCAUGGUUGUCGUCAGCUCGUGUCGUGAGAUGUUGGGUUAAGUCCCGCAACGAGCGCAACCCUUAAGCUUAGUUGCCAUCAUUAAGUUGGGCACUCUAAGUUGACUGCCGGUGACAAACCGGAGGAAGGUGGGGAUGACGUCAAAUCAUCAUGCCCCUUAUGAUUUGGGCUACACACGUGCUACAAUAGACAAUACAAAGGGCAGCGAAACCGCGAGGUCAAGCAAAUCCCAUAAAGUUGUUCUCAGUUCGGAUUGUAGUCUGCAACUCGACUACAUGAAGCUGGAAUCGCUAGUAAUCGUAGAUCAGCAUGCUACGGUGAAUACGUUCCCGGGUCU